AUACGUAGGUGGCAAGCGUUAUCCGGAUUUACUGGGCGCAAAGGGUGCGUAGGUGGUUUCUUAAGUAAGGAGUGAAAGGCUACGGCUCAAUCGUAGUAAGCUCUUGAAAUCGGGAAACUUGUGUGGAGGAGGGGAAAGUGGAAUUCCUAGAGUCGCGGUGAAAGGCGUAGAUAUUAGGAGGAACACCAGUAGCGAAGGCGGCUUUCUGGACUGUAACUGACACUGAGGCACGAAAGCGUGGGGAGCAAACAGGAUUAGAUACCCUGGUAGUCCACGCCGUAAACGAUGAGUACUAGGUGUCGGGGGUUACCCCCCUCGGUGCCGCAGCUAACGCAUUAAGUACUCCGCCUGGGGAGUACGCUCGCAAGAGUGAAACUUAAAGGAAUUGGCGGGG
This 394-nucleotide ribosomal RNA is filed under the name uncultured bacterium. RNAcentral's name for it is "partial 16S ribosomal RNA". It matches the Rfam family "Bacterial small subunit ribosomal RNA", at positions 523 to 918 of the family's 1533-position model. The record is from RNAcentral.